RNAcentral lists this ribosomal RNA (805 nucleotides) under metagenome. RNAcentral describes it as "bacterial SSU rRNA". It matches the Rfam family "Bacterial small subunit ribosomal RNA", at positions 8 to 810 of the family's 1533-position model. The record is from RNAcentral.
AGAGUUUGAUCCUGGCUCAGGAUGAACGCUAGCGGCAGGCUUAAUACAUGCAAGUCGAACGGCAGCAGCACCUUCGGGUGGCUGGCGAGUGGCGCACGGGUGAGUAACGCGUACGGAAUCUGCCCUUAACUGGGGGAAAGUCGCUGGAAACGGCGAAUAAUCCCGCAUAACACAUAUUUGAGGCAUCUCAGAUAUGUCAAAGCUUCGGCGGUUAAGGAUGAUCGUGCGUUCCAUUAGCUAGAUGGUGAGGUAACGGCUCACCAUGGCGACGAUGGUUAGGGGGCGUGAGAGCGUGAUCCCCCACACGGGUACUGAGACACGGACCCGACUCCUACGGGAGGCAGCAGUAAGGAAUAUUGGUCAAUGGACGGAAGUCUGAACCAGCCAUGCCGCGUGUGUGAAGAAGGCCCUAUGGGUUGUAAAGCACUUUUAUCUGGGAAGAAUGACGAGGAUUUAUCCUUGGAGAGACGGUACCAGAAGAAUAAGCACCGGCUAACUCCGUGCCAGCAGCCGCGGUAAUACGGAGGGUGCCAGCGUUAUCCGGAAUCACUGGGUUUAAAGGGUACGUAGGCGGUUAUAUAAGUCAGACGUUAAAGGCUGUGGCUAAACCAUGGUACGCGUUUGAAACUGUAUAACUUGAAUAUAUUCGAGGUGCACGGAAUGCGUCAUGUAGCGGUGAAAUGCAUAGAUAUGACGUAGAACACCGAAUGCGAAGGCAGUGCACUAGGGUAUUAUUGACGCUGAUGUACGAAAGCGUGGGUAGCGAACAGGAUUAGAUACCCUGGUAGUCCACGCCCUAAACGAU